GUCUGGCCAAGACACGUGGCUCAGUUAGCGUCACUCUGUUUUCUCGUUCAACACUUCUGGGGCUCGUUGGAGUGUGCAGGGGGAACCUGUCUGCCCCAGGAGCUUGACAAGGGGGUGGAAGCCCUGCGCGGGAGCCCUGGGGGAGCCAGGUCCCUGGGGCAGGCCUGGUGGUCCCUGGAGUCCCGCAGAGGUGACCAGGUCUGCAGCAGGUGUUGGGGAGACCACAGGUCCCCUCUUCCCAGGCCCGGAGGCAGCUUUUCCUCCUUGUGCAGCGAGACCCAAACAGGGCCGCUCACGGCUGCCCAAUCGUUGCAGUCAGAGCUCAGCUGACGGCACAGGAGCUGUCCCCACCCAAACCCACCUCGCCUUUCCCCAGGGCCCUUCAAGGUCCCCUCGCCCCUCGCCCCUCGCCCCAUGGCCCAGGCCGACCCCGCAGAGCUCCCUGGAGAGUAAGACACCAGCCUGCUCUGUGCCCCUGGAGAGACCCCGGCUGGGAGGGGUCCUCAGGGGCUAGAAGGCAGAUUCCCUGUGUCGGAGCCCCUGUGCAGUGCGAGGGGUGGGUCCAUCAGACUCCCAGAGGCCCCGCCCCCCGCCCAGGCCUCAGCCCUGUGGCAACAGCAGCCGAAGGCUCCCGGAAGGGCCGGGAGCUUGGGAAAGACUCAGGACCAAAGGAGGCAGGAGGUUUGGUAACUGCCCACAGCCAGGGCCCGCUUCAGGGGAGAAGUGGGGCGGACCUAAGCCGGGGCCCACGGAGGGGCUCAGGGGCUGGCUGGCUGCUGUCGUGGACGUGGGCCACAGAGGCUGACGUGGAUGCCACUCGCUCAGGCUUGGGCGGACGUGGGCUGGUGUUGACAGUGUUAGGGUCCACAGACUCCCCUUCAACCUCCAAUCGGACACUGGCUGCAGCGCCCGCUGCUGGGGGCCUGCCUGGAAUUGGGGUCACCUGCAGCCACGGGCAGUGCAGGAUGUGGGCGUCCCACUGGGGCGUCCCGCUGGCCAUGGUAAGGGGCGGGCGGGCCCCGGGGAGGUGAGAAGG
RNAcentral lists this long non-coding RNA (1036 nucleotides) under Oryctolagus cuniculus (rabbit). RNAcentral's name for it is "lncRNA (ENSOCUG00000032513.1)". The record is from RNAcentral. Lineage: Eukaryota; Metazoa; Chordata; Mammalia; Lagomorpha; Leporidae.